CUCCCCGGGCCGGUGUCCCAUUGCACAGGCUCCAGAGGCAGGUCUGGGGAAGGCCUGAGUCUCUCUCCCAGGGUGGCCGUGAGCAAGCCAACACCUGAGCCUGUGUCCCCACAGAGACGGUGUGACACCCAGGCGCCCAGUCCAGCAGAGCUACACAGGUCGGUGAGACGGCUCAGCUGGACAGUGAGUGAAACCCAGGUUCGAGCCCAGCCCCUGCCGCACAGGGACAAGCUUCGGGGAUGGGGACUGUCUAUGGGUGCCCUCCCUCUCCCAACUUUUUCCCCAGAGCCCAGCUGAGCUCUAAUUGAUGGUUGUGCCAGGGACUGAACCUUGGGGCCUGGGAGCCUCAGGCAGGGGAGUCCCAGUGCUGUGUCCCAUGCUCUGCAGUUCUCUAUCUGAAGCCCUGGUGAUGACAGAAGAAACCCUCAAGGCCAGUCAAAUCUGUGGACAGCGGGUGCCCAGGGCCCCCCUGCAGACGGCCCCACGUCACCGGGAGAGCAGCGGGCCUGAGCACCCACGGCCCAGACAGCAACAUGGUGGCCCAGCACGUGCGGGCCCGGCAGAGUCCCCAGCAGACGACGGGGCAGCAGGGCCAGGCUCAGGAGGAGCCGCGGGGUGACCGCAGGGCCCGCCGUCCCCGCCCCCGACCCCGCAGGAGGCCCUAUCGCAGCUACUCUGGGGCCCGGCGCCGUGGCCGCCCAGGCAGACGCAGGAGGCUACGCAGGGCCGGGGGGCCACUCCGGCGGCUGCAGAGGAGGGCGGCCAGGGUGUCCUGAAGCCGUGUCCGGAGCAGACGUCACCGCUGAAGCCGCAGGCCCUGCACCCCCUCCAGUGCACGGCCACCCCCAUCAAAAGUCAUGAAAUAAAAUGGGCAAAAGUCAUGAAAAUAAAAGCUCGAUCAGAAACAUCA
Erinaceus europaeus (western European hedgehog) is the source of this 910-nucleotide long non-coding RNA. RefSeq lists it as uncharacterized. The record is from RefSeq and is a predicted model, not a curated record. NCBI's taxonomy places the organism in Eukaryota, Metazoa, Chordata, Mammalia, Eulipotyphla, Erinaceidae. The transcript is spliced from 2 exons.